GUCCUUGUAGCUUAAACCAAAGCAUGACGCUGAAGACGCCAAGACGGACACCAUCACUCCCGAGGAC
Molecule: transfer RNA, 67 nt
Filed under: Psittacara leucophthalmus (white-eyed parakeet)
Lineage: Eukaryota; Metazoa; Chordata; Aves; Psittaciformes; Psittacidae
Description: tRNA-Phe
Source: RNAcentral